GGCUCUUUGCUUACACAAAUAUAAAGAGUCGAGCCUGCCCAGUGAAUUUUUAAACGGCCGCGGUACUCUGACCGUGCAAAGGUAGCAUAAUCAUUUGCCUUAUAAUUGAAGGCUAGUAUGAAUGGUUUGACGAGAGCAGCACUGUCUCCUUUUUAUUUUCAAGAACUUAACUUUUAGGUGAAGAGGCCUAAAUUUUAUUGAAGGACAAGAAGACCCUAUCGAGCUUAAAAGACAUUAUAGAAGUUUAUAUAUUUUUAAAUAAAUUUUCUAUCAAGCUUUUUAGUUGGGGCGACUAAGGAACAAAAAAAGCUUCUUGCUGACAAUAAGCAGUCAUGUUUAGAUCCGAUAAUAAUCGAUCAAAGAAAUUAGUUACCGUAGGGAUAACAGCAUAAUCUCUCUUGAGAGACCUAAUCGAAAGAGGGGGUUGUGACCUCGAUGUUGGACUAGAAUAUCCUAAAGAUGCAGAAGUCUUUAAGGGUCGGUCUGUUCUACCGUUAAAAUUCU
Molecule: ribosomal RNA, 504 nt
Filed under: Juga interioris
Lineage: Eukaryota; Metazoa; Mollusca; Gastropoda; Semisulcospiridae
Description: partial 16S ribosomal RNA
Rfam family: Bacterial large subunit ribosomal RNA
Source: RNAcentral